GGCAUACCUGGCUCUCCGCGGCGGGGAUGCCGGACUCGAGCUCGCACAGCGCGCGGAAGUUGUGCAGCUCGAAGUCUGCGUCGACCUGGAGGGAAAAGGUCACCUCGGAGAGGUCCCUCCGCACACAGUACACGGAGGCAGACCUCAGCAUCUGACGAGUGUUAUGCUCAGGAAAGGCUCCUGCACGACCAGCAAAGCCUCACGACCGCCUCUGGAACCGUUUUAUCACUUCACUGUCACUAGUGCGGAAAAGCCCCAGCUGCCCCUUUGGUCACCCUCUGACCACCCCAUCUGAGGCCGCGGCCGAAACCCCAGCUCAGGUCCUGUUACGUUCUCAGGGUCGUGAGAUCGAUCCCCGCUAUGGGCUCCGGGCUCAACGCAGAGGCCGCUUCUCUCUCCUUCUGUCCCUCCUCCCUCGUUGGCG
Mustela lutreola (European mink) is the source of this 424-nucleotide long non-coding RNA. RefSeq lists it as uncharacterized. Lineage: Eukaryota; Metazoa; Chordata; Mammalia; Carnivora; Mustelidae. The record is from RefSeq and is a predicted model, not a curated record. The transcript has 3 exons.